Molecule: long non-coding RNA, 457 nt
Organism: Homo sapiens (human)
Lineage: Eukaryota; Metazoa; Chordata; Mammalia; Primates; Hominidae
Source: Ensembl
AGACAGAUAUGGGAUAACUCUAUGGAUGCUUCAAAAGCACUUAAAGGAUAAACCCUCAACUAUAGAGACACUUAUGCUUCCAGAAUAGAUUAUAACCUAAAGGAUGCUAGAGUCAGGAUUCACCCUGGCUCCCUUUCUCUGAGGAUUCUGGCACUUUGAGUUCCCACUGCGUUUAUUAAAUGACAUAGUAUAGUCCAUGAGACACAGCAAUAUGUAACAGACAAUGAAUGCUAUAUGAUGGAUCCAUUCAUUCACUGUAUGGAUAAAAUAUCUAAGGUUAUGCAGUAUGCACGAGGCACUCCUGGGUGCUAGGGACACACUGAUGAGCAAAAGCAGCCUCUGCCCCUAGACAUCUGAGUCUAAUGGAGGAACCAGUCACGGGACCCAGUUUUUCUCUCAGAGUAUAAUCACCAUUUGCAGGAUUUGGAAGAAAACUAAAGAUCAUGAAAGUUGUUAA